UCUGGAAUUUCUAUACAGCAGCAGUGUGUUAGUUCGUCAUUUAUCACUUGUUUAUUACAGUUUAGUUGUAUUUAUUACAAGGAUAGUUAUAGCUAGUGUAUUGAUUUAUAUUUAAAGUAUAUUGAGUUUUUUUCGUCGCUGAAAAUAUUACCAGUUAACAUGGAAGCCUUGACAAUGGCAUUUGCCUCUAUUCACAUCACCAUGCCAGCUCAUGUCUGGAAUUUUGAAGCGCCGGUGGAGGCCAUGGAGGUGGAUGUCCCCGUCCCCUCCCGAAAGAGAAGGAGGGAGGAGGGGACGUGGGACAUCCGAAAGGUUGCCACCAACAGGACGUUCAUCCUCCCUGCCAAGAGGCAAAAGAAGAGGGCGGUUUAGAUCUCACAACAAGAGGAGAGGAGGAGAGACAAAGGAGACUGCAGGACCUGGACAAAAUCUACCUCACAUUACGGGAGAAGGCCAUCAGAAGAGCCCCCCUUCCACCUGUCUCACUUACAAAUAGGGCCCAGAACAUCGCCCACCCCAACCCACCCCCCUACACACACACACACAAACACGCACACACACACACACGCACACACGCGCAAAUGCACUCACUUUUUUAAUAA
Long non-coding RNA from Engraulis encrasicolus (European anchovy), 602 nucleotides. RefSeq lists it as uncharacterized. NCBI's taxonomy places the organism in Eukaryota, Metazoa, Chordata, Actinopteri, Clupeiformes, Engraulidae. The record is from RefSeq and is a predicted model, not a curated record. The transcript has 4 exons.